Molecule: ribosomal RNA, 505 nt
Filed under: uncultured bacterium
Lineage: Bacteria
Description: partial 16S ribosomal RNA
Rfam family: Bacterial small subunit ribosomal RNA
Source: RNAcentral
GACGAACGCUGGCGGCGUGCCUAAUACAUGCAAGUAGAACGCACAGUUUAUACCGUAGCUUGCUACACCAUAGACUGUGAGUUGCGAACGGGUGAGUAACGCGUAGGUAACCUGCCUGGUAGCGGGGGAUAACUAUUGUAAACUAUAGCUAAUACCGCAUAAUAUUAAUUAUUGCAUGAUAAUUAAUUGAAGGGUGCAAUUGCACCACUACCUGAUGUACCUGCGUUGUAUUAGCUAGUAGGUGAGGUAACGGCUCACCUAAGCGACGAUACAUAGCCGAACUGAGGAGGUGGAUGGCCAAACUGGGAACGAGACACGGCCCAGACACCUAAGGGAGGCAGCAGUAGGGAAUCUUCGGCAAAGGACGAAAGUCUGGCCGAGGAAAGACGGGUGAGUGAAGAAGGGUUUCGGAUCGGAAAAACCUGUUGUAAGGGAAGAACGGGUGUGAGAGUGAAAAGUUCACAUUGUGACGGUAUCUUACCAGAAAGCGACGGCUAACUACGUG